UGGGGAAUAUUGGACAAUGGGCGAAAGCCUGAUCCAGCCAUGCCGCGUGUGUGAAGAAGGUCUUCGGAUUGUAAAGCACUUUAAGUUGGGAGGAAGGGCUUAAGGCUAAUAUCCUUGAGUUUUGACGUUACCGACAGAAUAAGCACCGGCUAACUCUGUGCCAGCAGCCGCGGUAAUACAGAGGGUGCAAGCGUUAAUCGGAAUUACUGGGCGUAAAGCGCGCGUAGGCGGUUUGGUAAGUUGAAUGUGAAAGCCCCGGGCUCAACCUGGGAACUGCAUCCAAAACUGCCAGGCUAGAGUACAGUAGAGGGUGGUGGAAUUUCCUGUGUAGCGGUGAAAUGCGUAGAUAUAGGAAGGAACACCAGUGGCGAAGGCGACCACCUGG
This 385-nucleotide ribosomal RNA is filed under the name uncultured bacterium. Its description in RNAcentral is "bacterial SSU rRNA". It matches the Rfam family "Bacterial small subunit ribosomal RNA", at positions 355 to 732 of the family's 1533-position model. The record is from RNAcentral.